This 535-nucleotide ribosomal RNA is filed under the name Eresia eunice. Its description in RNAcentral is "partial 16S ribosomal RNA". The stretch from base 398 to 535 matches the Rfam family "Archaeal large subunit ribosomal RNA", at positions 2542 to 2680 of the family's 2987-position model. The record is from RNAcentral. Lineage: Eukaryota; Metazoa; Arthropoda; Insecta; Lepidoptera; Nymphalidae.
UCAAAAACAUGUCUUUUUGAAAAUAAUUUAAAGUCUAAUCUGCCCACUGAUAAUUAUUAAAGGGCUGCAGUAUAUUGACUGUACAAAGGUAGCAUAAUCAUUAGUCUUUUAAUUGAAGACUUGUAUGAAAGAUUUGAUGAAAUAUAAACUGUCUCUAAUUUAUGAAUAUAAAUUAAUUUUUUAAUUAAAAAGUUAAAAUAAUAUUAAAAGACGAGAAGACCCUAUAAAGUUUUAUAAUUUAUUUAUUUAUUAUUAAGUAUAAAAAUAAAUAUAAUAAUUAUUAUAAAUUAUUAUAUUGGGGUGAUAGAAAAAUUAAAUAAACUUUUUUUAAAAAAUAAACAUAUAUAAAUGAAAAAUUGAUCCAUUAUUAAUGAUUAAAAGAAAAAAUUACUUUAGGGAUAACAGCGUAAUAUUUUUUUUUAGUUCAAAUAAGAAAAAAAGUUUGCGACCUCGAUGUUGGAUUAAGAUAAAAUUUAAAUGCAAAAGUUUAAAAUUUUGAUCUGUUCGAUCAUUAAAAUCUUACAUGAUCUGAGCU